GUGGAGAAUAUUGGACAAUGGGCGCAAGCCUGAUCCAGCAAUGCCGCGUGGGUGAAGAAGGUCUUCGGAUCGUAAAGCCCUUUCGACAGGGACGAUGAUGACGGUACCUGUAGAAGAAGCCCCGGCUAACUUCGUGCCAGCAGCCGCGGUAAUACGAAGGGGGCUAGCGUUACUCGGAAUUACUGGGCGUAAAGGGCGCGUAGGCGGCUCUGUUAGUCAGGCGUGAAAUUCCUGGGCUUAACCUGGGGACUGCGCUUGAUACUGCAGGGCUUGAGGCCGAGAGAGGGUGGUGGAAUUCCCAGUGUAGAGGUGAAAUUCGUAGAUAUUGGGAAGAACACCGGUGGCGAAGGCGACCACCUGGCUCGGUUCUGACGCUGAGGCGCGACAGCGUGGGGAGCAAACAGGAUUAGAUACCCUUGUAGUCC
This 425-nucleotide ribosomal RNA is filed under the name uncultured bacterium. RNAcentral describes it as "bacterial SSU rRNA". It matches the Rfam family "Bacterial small subunit ribosomal RNA", at positions 354 to 796 of the family's 1533-position model. The record is from RNAcentral.